GAAAUCAAUUUCUUCCAACCUCACUUCUCUAUAAGUGCCGACCUUCUCUUCUCCUCCCCCUCAUGCACAUCAAGCUCAGUGCUCUUCUCUUACUAUCAUCACUCUGAGCAAAUCAUGGAGAGCAAGUCACUUGUUGCCGUCUUUUCCAUUCUCAUCCUUCUCUUCACUGCUCAAGAAAUGGUGGUGAAGACGGAGGGGAAGACAUGCGAGAAGCCGAGCAAGUUCUUCUCGGGAGGAUGCAUUGGGACGACCGCAACAAACAGUGCGACUAUCUCUGCAGGAGAGGCGAAGGACUGCUCAGUGGCGCCUGCAAGGGCCUCAAGUGUGUCUGCACCAAAUCCUGCUGAUCAUAACCUCUUCAUCAUAUGGCAUGUAUGUGUAUCAUCAUACUUAAAUAAUUCACACACACACACACACACACACACACACACACACAGAGGUCCGUACAUAGUUAACGACGUGUUUGAUGAAAUAAGCUCUCAUUUCGGCUAUCUCUGAUCUUCUGUGGGGACAGUUGAAAUAGGUUGCAGAUGCAUGAGAAUGCUAGCUAGCUUACCCGCUGGCCUUUAUAUGCUCUCUAGCUCUCACUGUGUAAUACAGUUUAUAUUUUGAAGCCGCCCUUUCUUAAUUA
Long non-coding RNA from Prosopis cineraria, 631 nucleotides. RefSeq lists it as uncharacterized. Lineage: Eukaryota; Viridiplantae; Streptophyta; Magnoliopsida; Fabales; Fabaceae. The transcript has 2 exons. The record is from RefSeq and is a predicted model, not a curated record.